GAGUUUGAUUAUGGCUCAGAUUGAACGCUGGCGGGAUGCUUUACACAUGCAAGUCGAACGGCAGCACGGACUUCGGUCUGGUGGCGAGUGGCGAACGGGUGAGUAAUGUAUUUGAACGUGUUUGCGUAGUUGGGGGAUACUACGCGCGAAAGCGUAGCUAAUACCGCAUACACACUCUCGGGGAAAGUUGGGGAUCUUUUCGGCUCGCACUAUUAGAGCGGCUGAUAUCGGAUUAGCAGGGUUGGUGGGGUAACGCUCACUCGGCGACGAUCCGUGGCUGGUUUGAGGACGACCAGCCACACUGGGACUGAGACACGGCCCAGACUCCUACGGGAGGCAGCAGGGAAUUUUGGACAAUGGGGGAAACCCUGAUCCAGCCAUCCCGCGUGUGCGAUGAAGGCCUCGGGUUGUAAAGCACUUUUGGCAGGAAGAAACGGCACGGGAUAAUUCUGUGCACACGCAGUACCUGCAGAAUAAGCACCGGCUAACUACGUGCCAGCAGCCGCGGUAAUGAAAAGGCAAUCGUGGAAUUACUGGGCGUAAAAGCGUGCGAAAAGGUCUUAAAAGAAAGAUGUGAAAUCCCAGAGCGUAACUUGAAUCAAAAUUUUUAAUCUACCGAGCUAGAGUGUCAGAGGGAGGUGGAAUUCCGCGUGUAGCAGUGAAAUGCGUAGAUAUGCGGAGGAACACCGAUGGCGAAGGCAGCCUGGGAUAACACUGACGCUCAUGCACGAAAGCGUGGAGCAAACAGAUUAUAGAUACCUUAGAACGUUUGCAAACGAUGUCAACCACGGUUAGCCUUCGGGCCCGGCAGCUAACGCGUGAAGUUGACCGCCUGGGGAGUACGGUCGCAAGAUUAAAACUCAAAGGAAUUGACGUAGAAUCUCGCACGCCGUGAUGAUGUGGAUGAAUUGAUGCAACGAAAAACCUUACCUACCCUUGACAUGUCUGGAAACCUGAAGAUUUGGAGUGCUCGCAAGAGAACUGGAACACAGGUGCUGCAUGGCCAAACAGCCAAGUCAUGUUAGAUGCUGCUGUUGGUCCAAGGCAACGAGCGCAACCCGUUGCUGGAUAACAGUGCGACUGACGAGACUGCCGAUAAACGAAGGUGGGAUGAUCGUCAAGUCCUCAUGGCCCCAGGGUAGGGCUUGCCAUCAUACAAUGGUUGGGACAGAGUGGUCGCCAACCCGCGAGGGGGAGCCAAUCCCAGAAACCCGAUCGUAGUCCGAUCGCAGUCUGCAACUCGACUGCGUGAAGUCGGAAUCGCUAGUAAUCGCGGAUCAGCAUGUCGCGGUGAAUACGUUCCCGGUCUUGAACGUUCGUCACACCCGUAGGGAGUGGGUUUCACCAGAAGACAGUUAAUUAACCGUAAGGAGGGCGAUUACCACGGUAGGAUUCAGGAUUGGGGUGAAGUCGUAAUUAGCGUAACCUCAGACAUACUGAUGUUUCCUCAGGAGCAGACACGUACGAAC
RNAcentral lists this ribosomal RNA (1469 nucleotides) under uncultured Bordetella sp. RNAcentral describes it as "partial 16S-23S ribosomal RNA intergenic spacer". It matches the Rfam family "Bacterial small subunit ribosomal RNA". The record is from RNAcentral. Lineage: Bacteria; Pseudomonadati; Pseudomonadota; Betaproteobacteria; Burkholderiales; Alcaligenaceae.